RNAcentral lists this transfer RNA (87 nucleotides) under Zygosaccharomyces mellis. Its description in RNAcentral is "tRNA-Tyr". It matches the Rfam family "tRNA". From Rfam's summary of the family: Transfer RNA (tRNA) molecules are approximately 80 nucleotides in length. Their secondary structure includes four short double-helical elements and three loops (D, anti-codon, and T loops). Further hydrogen bonds mediate the characteristic L-shaped molecular structure. tRNAs have two regions of fundamental functional importance: the anti-codon, which is responsible for specific mRNA codon recognition, and the 3' end, to which the tRNAs corresponding amino acid is attached (by aminoacyl-tRNA synthetases). tRNAs cope with the degeneracy of the genetic code in two manners: having more than one tRNA (with a specific anti-codon) for a particular amino acid; and 'wobble' base-pairing, i.e. permitting non-standard base-pairing at the 3rd anti-codon position. The record is from RNAcentral. Lineage: Eukaryota; Fungi; Ascomycota; Saccharomycetes; Saccharomycetales; Saccharomycetaceae.
CCCCCGGUGGCCAAGUUGGUUUAAGGCGCCAGACUGUAAUGUUGCGAAGUAAUCUGGAUAUCGGGUGUUCGAAUCACCCCCGGGGGA